UCUGGNUCAGCUGGGGGCGUGCGGUGGGUACGGGCUGGCUUGAGUGCGGUAGGGGAGACUGGAACUCCUGGUGUAGCGGUGGAAUGCGCAGAUNUCAGGAGGAACACCGGUGGCGAAGGCGGGUCUCUGGGCCGUUACUGACGCUGAGGAGCGAAAGCGUGGGGAGCGAACAGGAUUAGAUACCCUGGUAGUCCGCGCUGUAAACGUUGGGCACUAGGUGUGGGGGGCCUUUUCCGGGUUUUCCGCGCCGUAGCUAACGCAUUAAGUGCCCCGCCUGGGGAGUACGGCCGCAAGGCUAAAACUCAAAGGAAUUGACGGGGGCCCGCACAAGCGGCGGAGCAUGCGGAUUAAUUCGAUGCAACGCGAAGAACCUUACCAAGGCUUGACAUGGGCUGGAUUGCUUCGGAGACGGGGUUUCCCUUUUUUGGGCUGGUUCACAGGUGGUGCAUGGUUGUCGUCAGCUCGUGUCGUGAGAUGUUGGGUUAAGUCCCGCAACGAGCGCAACCCUUGUCUCGUGUUGCCAGCACGUUGUGGUGGGGACUCGCGGGAGACUGCCGGGGUUAACUCGGAGGAAGGUGGGGAUGACGUCAAAUCAUCAUGCCCCUUAUGUCUUGGGCUUCACGCAUGCUACAAUGGCCGGUACAGUGGGUUGCGAUGCUGUGAGGCGGAGCGAAUCCCUGAAAGCCGGUCUCAGUUCGGAUCGGUGUCUGCAACUCGACACCGUGAAGUUGGAGUCGCUAGUAAUCGCAGAUCAGCAGCGCUGCGGUGAAUACGUUCUCGGGCCUUGUACACACCGCCCGUCACGUCAUGAAAGCUGGCAACACCC
RNAcentral lists this ribosomal RNA (826 nucleotides) under uncultured bacterium. RNAcentral's name for it is "bacterial SSU rRNA". It matches the Rfam family "Bacterial small subunit ribosomal RNA", at positions 603 to 1422 of the family's 1533-position model. The record is from RNAcentral.